Molecule: ribosomal RNA, 498 nt
Filed under: Aureobasidium pullulans
Lineage: Eukaryota; Fungi; Ascomycota; Dothideomycetes; Dothideales; Saccotheciaceae
Description: eukaryotic LSU rRNA
Rfam family: Eukaryotic large subunit ribosomal RNA
Source: RNAcentral
AAGCGGCAACAGCUCAAAUUUGAAAGCUAGCAUUCGGGUUCGCAUUGUAAUUUGUAGAGGAUGAUUUGGGGAAGCCGCCUGUCUAAGUUCCUUGGAACAGGACGUCAUAGAGGGUGAGAAUCCCGUAUGUGACAGGAAAUGGCACCCUAUGUAAAUCUCCUUCGACGAGUCGAGUUGUUUGGGAAUGCAGCUCUAAAUGGGAGGUAAAUUUCUUCUAAAGCUAAAUAUUGGCGAGAGACCGAUAGCGCACAAGUAGAGUGAUCGAAAGAUGAAAAGCACUUUGGAAAGAGAGUUAAAAAGCACGUGAAAUUGUUGAAAGGGAAGCGCUUGCAAUCAGACUUGUUUAAACUGUUCGGCCGGUCUUCUGACCGGUUUACUCAGUUUGGACAGGCCAGCAUCAGUUUCGGCGGCCGGAUAAAGGCUCUGGGAAUGUGGCCUCCACUUCGGUGGAGGUGUUAUAGCCCAGGGUGUAAUACGGCCAGCCGGGACUGAGGUCCG